UUAGAAAGAGGUGGGGAAUCGAGUCGAGAACGAUGUUACUGGCGUGAUAGGUGAAAGGUUCAAUGCCUUCUGCCAUGCCAGGGAAAUGUCUGUUUCUAAUGCCGUUCUAAGAGAACUCGACUGAGAGAACUCGAAUGAGAAACUCGGCUAGGAUCUUCGUAGCAUCCUCUCCUAUCAUCUUUUCUCGUGGGAUACUCGCGGCUUCUUUCAACGAUAAUACUGAUGCUGGUACUGGUACUGUUAUUGGUGAUGGUAUUGGUGGUGGUGGUGGUGCUGCUCUUCAAAAACACUUUUCCUUGCGCCACAUGGAUUCUUGAAGAUUGAAGAGGAAUCGAAAGAAACUUCUUUUUCUUUGAGGAUAAUUAAAAAAAAAGAAGAAAAGAAAAUAAACCUACAAAGGAUUUGGUAUCUUUUACGAAAAAGAUGAAGUGUAUAUAUAUAUAUAUUUUUUUUUUAUUUUUUUUCACGGUCGUGCACACAGUUAUGCAAAUUAUCUAACGCAUUUAACAUUCCGCAUUCGUCAUCUCGAUAUGACGAGGCAUAAAAUGGUGACUGAAAAAAGAAAAAAGAAAAAAACGUCCACCACGACCUUUCAACGUGUCUAAUAUAUCAUCACGGAAGAGAAAGCGUUUGCUAUGGUAAAAUUUACAAAGAAAAAUUCGCGUGGGAGGAUAUAGAAUAUCUCUUUUUGUUUUUUUUUUUUUUUAUUAAGUAUAAUACAAUUGUAAAGUUCAAUUCUUUGAUGGACAGAUAUUGGAUCGAUCUUUAUGAACUUAUCGAUACAAACUACGACCUUCGAAUCGAUAAUUCCUGACAAUGGAUUGAAUC
This 828-nucleotide long non-coding RNA is filed under the name Polistes fuscatus (common paper wasp). RNAcentral's name for it is "uncharacterized LOC122521354". The record is from RNAcentral. Lineage: Eukaryota; Metazoa; Arthropoda; Insecta; Hymenoptera; Vespidae.